This 151-nucleotide small RNA is filed under the name Chrysemys picta bellii (western painted turtle). RNAcentral describes it as "TUC338 (ENSCPBG00000024913.1)". The record is from RNAcentral. Lineage: Eukaryota; Metazoa; Chordata; Testudines; Emydidae.
CUGAAACCCUUUGUGUAUGGAAUCCACAGAACAGAUAAAGCACAGGCAGCAAUACUACACUCCCCCUCACACUGCCCUGCCAAUAUACCUCAAUCCUGACCUAGAAGGUUCAUUAUCUAAGAUCCAUUGAAUUCUUCACCUGUCUGCUAAG